RNAcentral lists this ribosomal RNA (486 nucleotides) under Gemmula rosario. Its description in RNAcentral is "partial 16S ribosomal RNA". It matches the Rfam family "Bacterial large subunit ribosomal RNA", at positions 1846 to 2589 of the family's 2925-position model. The record is from RNAcentral. Lineage: Eukaryota; Metazoa; Mollusca; Gastropoda; Neogastropoda; Turridae.
UAGGGAGUCGGACCUGCCCAGUGAAAUUUUUUAACGGCCGCGGUACUCUGACCGUGCAAAGGUAGCAUAAUCAUUUGCCUUAUAAUUGGAGGCUAGUAUGAAUGGUUUGACAAGAAUAUAGCUGUCUCUUUAUAACUUUAUAGAAUUUUAUUUUAAAGUGAAGAAGCUUUAAUAUAAUUAAAAGACAAGAAGACCCUAUCGAGCUUUAAAAAAAUCUUUAGAAAUUAAUUAGUAAAUGAUCUUAAAAAAUUAGCUAUUGAACAUUUUGGUUGGGGCGACUAAGGAACAGAAAAAGCUUCCUUUAAAGAUUAUUAAUAACAUUCAUGUAUUGAUCCAGAAUUUUUGAUUAAAGAAUAUAGUUACCGUAGGGAUAACAGCAUUAUCUUUUUUGAGAGUUCUUAUCGAAAAAAAGGUUUGUGACCUCGAUGUUGGACCAGAAUAUCCUAAAGAUGCAGAAGUCUUUAAGGGUUGGUCUGUUCGACCAUU